GACGAACGCUGGCGGCGCGCCUAACACAUGCAAGUCGAACGAGCGAGAGAGAGCUUGCUUUCUCGAGCAAGUGGCGAACGGGUGAGUAACGCGUGAGGAACCUGCCUCAAAGAGGGGGACAACAGUUGGAAACGACUGCUAAUACCGCAUAAGCCCACGGGUCGGCAUCGACCAGAGGGAAAAGGAGCAAUCCGCUUUGAGAUGGCCUCGCGUCCGAUUAGCUAGUUGGUGAGGUAACGGCCCACCAAGGCGACGAUCGGUAGCCGGACUGAGAGGUUGAACGGCCACAUUGGGACUGAGACACGGCCCAGACUCCUACGGGAGGCAGCAGUGGGGAAUAUUGCACAAUGGGGGAAACCCUGAUGCAGCGACGCCGCGUGGAGGAAGAAGGUCUUCGGAUUGUAAACUCCUGUUGUUGGGGAAGAUAAUGACGGUACCCAACAAGGAAGUGACGGCUAACUACGUGCCAGCAGCCGCGGUAAAACGUAGGUCACAAGCGUUGUCCGGAAUUACUGGGUGUAAAGGGAGCGCAGGCGGGAAGACAAGUUGGAAGUGAAAUCUAUGGGCUCAACCCAUAAACUGCUUUCAAAACUGUUUUUCUUGAGUAGUGCAGAGGUAGGCGGAAUUCCCGGUGUAGCGGUGGAAUGCGUAGAUAUCGGGAGGAACACCAGUGGCGAAGGCGGCCUACUGGGCACCAACUGACGCUGAGGCUCGAAAGUGUGGGUAGCAAACAGGAUUAGAUACCCUGGUAGUCCACACCGUAAACGAUGAUUACUAGGUGUUGGAGGAUUGACCCCUUCAGUGCCGCAGUUAACACAAUAAGUAAUCCACCUGGGGAGUACGACCGCAAGGUUGAAACUCAAAGGAAUUGACGGGGGCCCGCACAAGCAGUGGAGUAUGUGGUUUAAUUCGACGCAACGCGAAGAACCUUACCAAGUCUUGACAUCCCUUGACGAUGCUGGAAACAGUAUUUCUCUUCGGAGCAAGGAGACAGGUGGUGCAUGGUUGUCGUCAGCUCGUGUCGUGAGAUGUUGGGUUAAGUCCCGCAACGAGCGCAACCCUUAUGGUCAGUUACUACGCAAGAGGACUCUGGCCAGACUGCCGUUGACAAAACGGAGGAAGGUGGGGAUGACGUCAAAUCAUCAUGCCCUUUAUGACUUGGGCUACACACGUACUACAAUGGCGUUAAACAAAGAGAAGCAAGACCGCGAGGUGGAGCAAAACUCAGAAACAACGUCCCAGUUCGGACUGCAGGCUGCAACUCGCCUGCACGAAGUCGGAAUUGCUAGUAAUCGUGGAUCAGCAUGCCACGGUGAAUACGUUCCCGGGCCUU
Molecule: ribosomal RNA, 1333 nt
Filed under: uncultured bacterium
Lineage: Bacteria
Description: bacterial SSU rRNA
Rfam family: Bacterial small subunit ribosomal RNA
Source: RNAcentral